GGUAUAGCUCAGUGGCAGAGUGUGUGCUUAGCAUGCAUGAGGUCCUGGGUUCAUUCCCCAGUACC
RNAcentral lists this transfer RNA (65 nucleotides) under Camelus bactrianus (Bactrian camel). It matches the Rfam family "tRNA". Rfam says of the family: Transfer RNA (tRNA) molecules are approximately 80 nucleotides in length. Their secondary structure includes four short double-helical elements and three loops (D, anti-codon, and T loops). Further hydrogen bonds mediate the characteristic L-shaped molecular structure. tRNAs have two regions of fundamental functional importance: the anti-codon, which is responsible for specific mRNA codon recognition, and the 3' end, to which the tRNAs corresponding amino acid is attached (by aminoacyl-tRNA synthetases). tRNAs cope with the degeneracy of the genetic code in two manners: having more than one tRNA (with a specific anti-codon) for a particular amino acid; and 'wobble' base-pairing, i.e. permitting non-standard base-pairing at the 3rd anti-codon position. RNAcentral also lists the same sequence under 2 other names. The record is from Rfam by way of RNAcentral. Lineage: Eukaryota; Metazoa; Chordata; Mammalia; Artiodactyla; Camelidae.